ACGGAAGGCAGCAGUGAGGAAUAUUGGUCAAUGGGCGGAAGCCUGAACCAGCCAAGUCGCGUGAAGGAUGAAGGUAUUAUGUGUUGUAAACUUCUUUAGCAGCAGAGUAAUAAGGGGGUCGUGACCUCCGAUGCAAGUAUGCUGAAAAUAAGGAUCGGCUAACUCCGUGCCAGCAGCCGCGGUAAUACGGAGGAUCCGAGCGUUAUCCGGAUUUAUUGGGUUUAAAGGGUGCGCAGGCGGUUUUUUAAGUCAGUGGUUAAAUCGUGAGGCUCAACCUCAUCACGCCAUUGAUACUGGAAGACUUGAUUGCGGUUGAGGUUGGCGGAAUUCGUCGUGUAGCGGUGAAAUGCAUAGAUAUGACGAAGAACACCGAUUGCGUAGGCAGCUGACCAAGCCGUAAAUGACGCUCAUGCACGAAAGUGCGGGGAUCGAGCAGGAUUAGAUACCCUGGUA
This 453-nucleotide ribosomal RNA is filed under the name uncultured Porphyromonadaceae bacterium. RNAcentral's name for it is "partial 16S ribosomal RNA". It matches the Rfam family "Bacterial small subunit ribosomal RNA", at positions 341 to 792 of the family's 1533-position model. The record is from RNAcentral. Lineage: Bacteria; Pseudomonadati; Bacteroidota; Bacteroidia; Bacteroidales; Porphyromonadaceae.